UUUAAUUGAAGAGUUUGAUCAUGGCUCAGAUUGAACGCUGGCGGCAGGCCUAACACAUGCAAGUCGAGCGGCAGCACAGAGAAACUUGUUU
Molecule: ribosomal RNA, 91 nt
Filed under: Vibrio vulnificus
Lineage: Bacteria; Pseudomonadati; Pseudomonadota; Gammaproteobacteria; Vibrionales; Vibrionaceae
Description: partial 16S ribosomal RNA
Rfam family: Bacterial small subunit ribosomal RNA
Source: RNAcentral